Non-coding RNA from Pelobates cultripes (western spadefoot toad), 218 nucleotides. The record is from the annotation of a GenBank genome assembly. NCBI's taxonomy places the organism in Eukaryota, Metazoa, Chordata, Amphibia, Anura, Pelobatidae.
CUUCCAUCAAUUUAAUAUCGUCAACUCUCAGUAUCCAUUCACGAAUUGAAGGUGGUAUGGGUUGUUUCCAAUGUUUAGGGAUUAGUUGGGAAGCCGCCAUGACUAAGUGGCGAAACAGGUCCGUCUCUAGCGUCGUGAGUUUAUGGGGUGGUAAGAAAAAGAUAUAAUAUUCCGGGAUACAAGGGAAAGUCUUAUGGAAUAUUAGUUGUACGAUAGUG